AGGUGACCUGCGGAAGGAUCAUUG
This 24-nucleotide ribosomal RNA is filed under the name Bryum argenteum. Its description in RNAcentral is "partial 18S ribosomal RNA". RNAcentral also lists the same sequence under 1 other name. Lineage: Eukaryota; Viridiplantae; Streptophyta; Bryopsida; Bryales; Bryaceae. The record is from RNAcentral.